UGUAUGUAGAUCUCUUUAACUGAUGAGCGACUGUAGUAAAGAUGCAGUGUUUAAGUCUGUAGCUUGGUCACAAACUCAUUUGAAACUCUUGUAGGUCUUUGGGCCACACAUUCUGGACAGAAGAAGAAGAAAAAGGAUGUUCUUGUGAAAUGUGAAUCAGAAAUUAAGUUAUUAAAAGCUUCUGUAGAAAACAAACCUCUUUGUGAAGUACUUAUUGAAUAAAUUCCCCUCAGUAUUGUCAUGUUCUGUACUUGCCAUUUAUUUCACAUUAAGAGAAAACCAUUCUUACAACAUUGUCUGAACAGUAUUGUAGAGGUGAAAAGCCCACUUAGUUAAAACUCAAGAUGACCUGGGAGAAGAAAGUUAAGUCCUGAUUAGAUUAUCCAAGAAAAAAAUGUGAGAAUGGUCCCAAGACAACGGAGGCAAAACAAGAUGUCAAGAAGAGAGUCACAAAAAAGAAACAUGACUUUCGUCAAUCCCUGAGUUUCUCCUCCACAUACUGGUACUUGAAAUAGUCUGUUAGCACCAUUAAGUGAAGGGAAGGUUGCCUAAGGGGGGACCAUUUGUACAAGGUCGUCCACAUACAGUACGGCUGUGUACUAACUCUUUGGCUAUACAGUGAAAUUAACACGAAUAUGAACAAACAAAGCAGCACAACCUGUGUAUAUCCGCAUGAAUGUCUGACAUAGUAUAGCCCUUCCUUGAAUAUGAAUACUAUGAAUAGAAAUUCAUCAUAAUUAUUCAAGAGACUUUGAGACAUGAUAUUCUUACACAUCAACCUUGAAAAACAUUACACACUUUAUGGCUUUGUUCAAACCCACAGGAAGUUUCAAUAAUAUUGUACUAAAGAGGAAUGAUUUCCACCUUCUAGAGCGGUCUUAGAAUGGAAGAACCUAUUUCACUUCAUCACAACCAUCUUGGAUUUUAUAUUAAGUCAAAUCUGUAUUAAUAAGGUACCAAGUCAAGUCUCUAUUAAUACCAAGUCAAGCCUGUAUUAAUAAGGUGUCAAGUCUAUUAAUAAGGUGUCAAGUCUGUAUUAUUAAGGUAUCAAGUCAAGUCUGUAUUAAUAAGGUAUCAAGUCAAGUCUGUAUUAUCAAGGUGUCAAGUCUGUAUUAAUAAGGUACCAAGUCUAUUAAUAAGGUGUCAAGUCCAGUCUGUAUUAAUAAGGUGUCAAGUCUAUUAAUAAUGUGUCAAGUCUGCAUUAAUAAAGGUGUCAAGUCUGCAUUAAUAAGGGGUCAAGUCUGUAUUAAUAAGGGGUCAAGUCUGUAUUAAUAAGGGGUCAAGUCAAGUCUGUAUUAAUAAGGGGUCAAGUCAAGUCUGUAUUAAUAAGGGGUCAAGUCUGUAUUAAUAAUGUACCAAAUCAAGUCUGUAUUAAUACCAAGUGAAGUAUGUAUUAAUAAGGUACCAAAUCAAGUCUGUAUUAAUAAGGAACCAAAAAGCCUAAGGCACUAUGGUCCAUGUGACUGUAAAUCUCACUGUCAUGGCACAUAAAACGACAUAGACACAUCCAUCUGCCUAUUGCAAGGCAAUUGCAUGAUAGUCAGAGAUGCAUAUAUCACACAUUCACCUCAAGAUACCUGAAUAAUACUGAAUGAAAAAAGAUAAAAAGGGUGAAUGACUAAGAAGCUGAGGCCUCUGAAGAGUUAUCAGCUGAAAACAUAAGAACUGCGACAUUCCUAGAGGCCUAUAGCAGACUUAAGGUUAAGAACUGUGACAUUCCUAGAGGCCUAUAGCAGACUUAAGGUUAAGAA
This is a long non-coding RNA of Coregonus clupeaformis (lake whitefish), 1751 nucleotides long. RefSeq lists it as uncharacterized. The transcript has 2 exons. The record is from RefSeq and is a predicted model, not a curated record. Lineage: Eukaryota; Metazoa; Chordata; Actinopteri; Salmoniformes; Salmonidae.